RNAcentral lists this ribosomal RNA (422 nucleotides) under Loricera pilicornis. Its description in RNAcentral is "SSU rRNA". It matches the Rfam family "Eukaryotic small subunit ribosomal RNA", at positions 1172 to 1489 of the family's 1831-position model. Lineage: Eukaryota; Metazoa; Arthropoda; Insecta; Coleoptera; Carabidae. The record is from RNAcentral.
AGGAGUGGAGCCUGCGGCUUAAUUUGACUCAACACUGGAAACCUCACCAGGCCCAGACACCGAAAGGAUUGACAGAUUGAGAGCUCUUUCUUGAUACGGUGGGUGGUGGUGCAUGGCCGUUCUUAGUUGGUGGAUUGAUUUGUCUGCUUAAUUGCGAUAACGAACGAGACUCUAGCCUAUUAAAUAGACGUUACUUACCGGUAUCUCGAAGGCUCGUGGCUACCGCUUCAUUCGUCACGGGCAUUUUUCAUACAACGUACAACUUGUUGUGCCUGUAUGAUGUGUUCUGUGUGCGUUAUGUUCGGUGGUUCAUGGUUUUUACUACCGGCGUACAUAUGAAUCUUCUUAGAGGGACAGGCGACUUCUAGUCGCACGAGAUUGAGCAAUAACAGGUCUGUGAUGCCCUUAGAUGUUCUGGGCCG